Molecule: ribosomal RNA, 1411 nt
Filed under: Kocuria rosea
Lineage: Bacteria; Bacillati; Actinomycetota; Actinomycetes; Micrococcales; Micrococcaceae
Description: bacterial SSU rRNA
Rfam family: Bacterial small subunit ribosomal RNA
Source: RNAcentral
AGCUACCAUGCAGUCGACGAUGAUGCCCAGCUUGCUGGGCGGAUUAGUGGCGAACGGGUGAGUAAUACGUGAGUAACCUGCCCUUGACUCUGGGAUAAGCCUGGGAAACUGGGUCUAAUACUGGAUACUACCUCUUGCCGCAUGGUGGGUGGUGGAAAGGGUUUUACUGGUUUUGGAUGGGCUCACGGCCUAUCAGCUUGUUGGUGGGGUAAUGGCUCACCAAGGCGACGACGGGUAGCCGGCCUGAGAGGGUGACCGGCCACACUGGGACUGAGACACGGCCCAGACUCCUACGGGAGGCAGCAGUGGGGAAUAUUGCACAAUGGGCGGAAGCCUGAUGCAGCGACGCCGCGUGAGGGAUGACGGCCUUCGGGUUGUAAACCUCUUUCAGUAGGGAAGAAGCGAGAGUGACGGUACCUGCAGAAGAAGCGCCGGCUAACUACGUGCCAGCAGCCGCGGUAAUACGUAGGGCGCAAGCGUUGUCCGGAAUUAUUGGGCGUAAAGAGCUCGUAGGCGGUUUGUCGCGUCUGCUGUGAAAGCCCGGGGCUCAACCCCGGGUCUGCAGUGGGUACGGGCAGACUAGAGUGCAGUAGGGGAGACUGGAAUUCCUGGUGUAGCGGUGAAAUGCGCAGAUAUCAGGAGGAACACCGAUGGCGAAGGCAGGUCUCUGGGCUGUUACUGACGCUGAGGAGCGAAAGCAUGGGGAGCGAACAGGAUUAGAUACCCUGGUAGUCCAUGCCGUAAACGUUGGGCACUAGGUGUGGGGGACAUUCCACGUUUUCCGCGCCGUAGCUAACGCAUUAAGUGCCCCGCCUGGGGAGUACGGCCGCAAGGCUAAAACUCAAAGGAAUUGACGGGGGCCCGCACAAGCGGCGGAGCAUGCGGAUUAAUUCGAUGCAACGCGAAGAACCUUACCAAGGCUUGACAUUCACCGGACCGCCCCAGAGAUGGGGUUUCCCUUCGGGGCUGGUGGACAGGUGGUGCAUGGUUGUCGUCAGCUCGUGUCGUGAGAUGUUGGGUUAAGUCCCGCAACGAGCGCAACCCUCGUUCUAUGUUGCCAGCACGUGAUGGUGGGGACUCAUAGGAGACUGCCGGGGUCAACUCGGAGGAAGGUGGGGAUGACGUCAAAUCAUCAUGCCCCUUAUGUCUUGGGCUUCACGCAUGCUACAAUGGCCGGUACAAAGGGUUGCGAUACUGUGAGGUGGAGCUAAUCCCAAAAAGCCGGUCUCAGUUCGGAUUGAGGUCUGCAACUCGACCUCAUGAAGUCGGAGUCGCUAGUAAUCGCAGAUCAGCAACGCUGCGGUGAAUACGUUCCCGGGCCUUGUACACACCGCCCGUCAAGUCACGAAAGUUGGUAACACCCGAAGCCGGUGGCCUAACCCCUUGUGGGAGGAGCCGUCGAAGUGACGGU